AAGGGAGACCUAAUACGGGUAUAAGACGAAAAAAGAGUAGUCGAAACCAAGAAUCAAUCCCAAAAGGUCGGAACGAGGUAUGUGGCUUUCAAACUAGGUUCUGGGUUCACACAAGACCUGAAUCAGGAACAAGGGCUAUUAGCUCAGGUGGUUAGAGCGCACCCCUGAUAAGGGUGAGGUCCCUGGUUCGAGUCCAGGAUGGCCCACCUGCACAGGUGGCAAAAACAAAGAAGCGAGGAAUCAGCACCUUAUCUUAUCUAUAUAUAAGAGAGAAUGCUGGCUCUGAGUAAAGAGUCCAGAGGAACCUUGAAAACUGCAUAGGGCUAGGUGAAAAAGCCAAAAAAGAAGACCGCAA
This 355-nucleotide transfer RNA is filed under the name uncultured Microcystis sp. RNAcentral's name for it is "partial 16S-23S ribosomal RNA intergenic spacer". The stretch from base 133 to 206 matches the Rfam family "tRNA". The record is from RNAcentral. Lineage: Bacteria; Bacillati; Cyanobacteriota; Cyanophyceae; Chroococcales; Microcystaceae.